UCGGGAAUUUUGGGCAAUGGGCGAAAGCCUGACCCAGCAACGCCGCGUGAGGGAUGAAGUAUUUCGGUAUGUAAACCUCGAAAGAAUGAGAAGAAUAAAUGACGGUACCAUUUAUAAGCUCCGGCUAACUACGUGCCAGCAGCCGCGGUAAUACGUAGGGAGCAAGCGUUGUUCGGAUUUACUGGGCGUAAAGGGCGCGUAGGCGGCGCGGUAAGUCACUUGUGAAAUCUCUGAGCUUAACUCAGAACGGCCAAGUGAUACUGCUGUGCUAGAGUGCGGAAGAGGCAACCGGAAUUCUUGGUGUAGCGGUGAAAUGCGUAGAUAUCAAGAGGAACACCUGAGGCGAAGGCGGGUUGCUGGGCCGACACUGACGCUGAUGCGCGAAAGCCAGGGGAGCAAACG
Molecule: ribosomal RNA, 402 nt
Filed under: uncultured bacterium
Lineage: Bacteria
Description: bacterial SSU rRNA
Rfam family: Bacterial small subunit ribosomal RNA
Source: RNAcentral